Molecule: long non-coding RNA, 774 nt
Filed under: Pan troglodytes (chimpanzee)
Lineage: Eukaryota; Metazoa; Chordata; Mammalia; Primates; Hominidae
Description: long non-coding RNA NONPTRT007875
Source: RNAcentral
CUCAAAGAACAGACGUCAUCACCAUGCAAUACACAAGACACACACAACCAUGGCAUCCAAACCAAGGACCACAAUGGAACACACAAGACUCAAAAACCACAGCAUCCAAACCAAGGACCACAAUGCAAUACACAAGACACACGCAACCACACAGACAACUCAAACGACACAGACGUCAUCACAAUGCAAUACACAGGACACACACAACCACACAGACGACUCGAAUGACACAGACGUCAUCACAAUGCAAUACACAAGACACACACAACCACACAGACGACUCAAAUGACACAGGCGUCAUCACAAUGCAAUAAAGACACACACAACCACACAGACGACUCGAAUGACACAGGCGUCAUCACAAUGCAAUACACAAGACACACACAACCACGCAGACGACUCGAAUGACACAGACGUCAUCACAAUGCAAUACACAAGACACACACAACCACGCAGACAACUUGAAUGACACAGACGUCAUCACAAUGCAAUACACAGGACACACACAACCACGCAGACGACUCGAAUGACACAGACGUCAUCACAAUGCAAUACACAAGACACACACAACCACGCAGACGACUCGAAGGACACAGACAUCAUCACAAUGCAAUAAAGACACACACAACCACACAGACGACUCGAAUGACACAGACGUCAUCACAAUGCAAUACACAGGACGCACACAACCACGCAGACGACUCGAAGGACACAGACGUCAUCACAAUGCAAUACACAGGACACACACAACCACGCAGACGACUCGAAUGACAC